CAGCCUUCACAGGUGAUGACUCCAUAGUGGAUUCCUGAGGAUUUGUCCCCACAGAUCUUACAGGGGAUGACCUCAAUCUGGGCUGACACUAUGCUCUGACUGAUGAAGCUACUCCCCAGCAUAAGACAUGUAGUUACAUUCCAGUGUACAACAUUGUCCAGUACCAUCCUUAGCCCUCCAGCCUUACUCUCAGCACAUGGCAGUGCACCACGUUCGGCAUGGCGCUUCCAAAUGCAGCCCUCCCCUCCCGCCGCUGACUGCUGUAUAAUGUUUGGUGACAUAACUAGGUCAGUGGAACAGCCAGAACCUCUCUCCCUCUCUGCUCUCACACUGUUGGCCAUGCGGACACUGUGUCACCACCACAUAA
Molecule: long non-coding RNA, 367 nt
Organism: Periophthalmus magnuspinnatus
Lineage: Eukaryota; Metazoa; Chordata; Actinopteri; Gobiiformes; Gobiidae
Exons: 3
Source: RefSeq, a predicted model, not a curated record